This 253-nucleotide ribosomal RNA is filed under the name uncultured bacterium. RNAcentral's name for it is "partial 16S ribosomal RNA". It matches the Rfam family "Bacterial small subunit ribosomal RNA", at positions 524 to 776 of the family's 1533-position model. The record is from RNAcentral.
UACGGAGGGUGCGAACGUUGCUCGGAAUCAUUGGGCGUAAAGAGCUCGUAGGCGGCUUGUCACGUCGGGUGUGAAAGCCCGGGGCUUAACCCCGGGUCUGCAUUCGAUACGGGCAGGCUAGAGUGUGGUAGGGGAGAUCGGAAUUCCUGGUGUAGCGGUGAAAUGCGCAGAUAUCAGGAGGAACACCGGUGGCGAAGGCGGAUCUCUGGGCCAUUACUGACGCUGAGGAGCGAAAGCGUGGGGAGCGAACAGG